AGCCAUGAAUUAUGCAGCAUUAUGAGAAAACUUUGCUUAAAUAUUCAGCAGGUUAAACACGGUGUGUAACUUACAUUCUUUCAAUUUUAAAAGAAAACAGUAUGGUAAAAAUGCUUUGAAAACUUCUGGUUUUCCCCCCCAUUAUGUUUUAAAAGAUGUCCACAAAUAAAGUUAGUGUUUGUAAAGUGGGAUAUGAAUGAACUGUUAAAAAACAGAAAAAGGGUUUAUGCUAAUUUAAAAUGCAGUUGAAUUAAGUAAAUAAGUAUUUAUGGUGGAAAUACAAUUAACUUGUGCUAUCAGUUGUUCAGCCUGCACUGUUGCACUAGCACUUCUGUACUGACCCAGAACAUUACACAGGUACAAAAGUAGGAAUUGCUGCUAGCAACCACCAUUACCAAUAUCAGAAGCAAGAUAGCAUAAAGGAAGAGGUGGGAUUGUGGUUGCUUUGCUUGUCUGUAUCCAUAGGUUACUGACAACUCGGAAGCCAACUCUGCUGCUACAGUUCUGUACUCUGCGUGAUAGUAUAUAUGAACAGGAUUUCAGGUGGUGGGGCAGCAAAGACAUGCUUCUUACUUUGCUUGGAAUAUCAACAGGUGCAGUAGAGGUCACACUGCUGUUGCAGCUGCACACAUCUGUGGAUUCGUGGUUUUGAUCAAAGAAGUAAGUUUAGUAAACAUUUUCUGCCUCUCAUAACUUAUUCCAGUGAAAUCCAAUAAACACUGGUUUCAUCUUAUAUUUCUUCCAAUUUUAUCCUUCCUUCAAGGAGUUACAGGCUCUCUCUUCUGUCCAUUUUAUAAUAAUCAACAGUUCUAUGAGGUAUAUUGAGCUAAGAAAUGUUGACUAGAUUAAGGCUACCCAAUGAGCUUCAGAGCUGAGGAGGUAUCUCUUCCACACUGGUGUUAUCCAAUGUCUUCCAGAUGUUGGGUUACAGUCCCAUAAUCCCUGGCCAAAAGCCAUGCUUUCUGGGGCUGAUGGGAGUUUUAGUCCAACAGUAUCUGGAAGGUGUACUACAUUGGCCAUCCCUGCAUUACACCACAAUCUCUCGUUAUUUUCUUAUCCAUAUUACCUACCAUGACUAUGCUUUUCCCCUCACAAACUUGGAUUGAAACUCCUACUUCAUGUAUAAGAAUGCUCCAAAAGGAAAGGGGAAAAACCUUUUUUUUUUAAUUCUAAAUGCCUUCAUUUUACUGAUAGAAUUAUAGUUUAAAAAUGUAACGGGUAACUUAAUUGAUGUUAGUUCAUGUUGAGAGAAGUUCUUUUAGUUCAGACAGUUCAAUGUGAAAAUUGCAUUACAGUAGAAAACGAUACUGAAUAGCAAGAUGGUAAGAGUUUGCCUAUGCACAUGAAUUGACAAUGUGGUAAAACGGAAACAAAUUGUGAUGACAAGGGAUUGCCCUUAUUAACAAAAAUUAACUAAUCACAGUGUCUGGGUGGCAUCUACCUGGCAUUUCUUAAAAGAUUUCAAAUGUUAAAUUGCUGGUCUUUUAACAAAAAUAAGAUCAGACACACUCUGAGGAUUAUAAAGUAGCCAACUUUUUUUUUGGCGGUGGGAGGGAUGUGGGAAAUAACAGGCCAGUUAGCUUAACAUCUGUUCCAGGAAAAUUGGUGGAAAGCAUUAUUAAAGAUAGAAUUGUGAGGUAUAUAAAAGUACAAGAGUUGUUGAAACAAAACCAGCAUGACUUCUGCAAGGGUAAGUCCUGUCUCAACAUUCUAGAGUUCUCUGAGAGUGUCAACAAGCAUAUCGGUUGAGAUGACCCGGUUGAUACUGUGUACUUAAAACUUCUAAAAAGCUUUUGAUAAAGUAACUCACCAAAGACUCCUGAGUAAGCGUAACAGACAUGAAAUGAGAGGUCCUCUUAUGGAUCAGGAAUUGGUUAAGUAGCAAGAAGCACAGAGUAAGAAUAAAUGGACAGUUCUCCCAGUGGAGGACUCCAAAGGAUCAGUAUGGGACCUGUACUUCUUAAUGUAUUCAUUAAUGAUCUAGCGUUUGGGUUGAUCAGGGAGGUAGCCAAAUUUGCUGUUGAUAGCAAAUUGUUCAAUGUGGCUAAAAAGAAUUGCAGGCAGUUCCAAAAGGAUCUCCAAACUGGGUGAAUGGGCAGUAAGAUGGCAAAUGCAAUUCAAAGUAUAUGCUAAUGGAACCUGAAUUUUCAGUGACUGGCCAGAAAUGAGACACACAGAGGAUAAGCGUGAACCAAAUAGCAAAAGUGAUGUCCACGUUCGGGAUCUUUAAAACUGUCAAUAUAAUGUUAUACAUAUCUGGUGAGACCACACUUGAAAUACUGUGUGCAGUUUUGGUCACCUCAAGUUGGAAAAGGUUCAGAAAAAGGCAACCAAAUUGGAUCAUGGGACUGGAACAACAAGUGCAUAAGGAAAACUUAACAACAUUCAGGCUCUUUAUUUUAGAAAAGAGGUGAGUACACUUGAUCUUACCCAAAAAGCCAAGAAGUGAUGAUAAGGAUGUAGAAAAUCAUGUAUGGUAGGAAGAAUAACUCUAUAAUUCUAUAAUUUUGACCAUCCAAUGAAGCCAAAUGCUGGAAGUUUCAGGAAAAACUUUUUUCUGGUCCUAGAAAUAGGGGUAGAAAUGGUGUAGUAUACAGGACAGCUGGUUGUGUACAGGUGUGACACGUUGACUUCUCUUGUCAAAUACAAUUUAAUUUUCUUGUAAGCACUAGAAAAUAUAUCUGUGGUCACCAGCUACCUUAGUAAACAAAGAUCAUUGAGGUGGUUUUCUGCAACUUCAGUGAAGGUUAAUGUUUAAAGUUUAUGCAAGUUGAAUUAAGUUCUAGGUUUUCAGAAUGAAUUGUUUCGGGUUAUUAACAUAUGCAUGCAUCUACAGUGUUGUCUUUUUUGUUACGGAUCUGGGAUUCUUCCUGUUGGGGAGACAAUGGCAUAGUUGCAUUGAGGGAUAUAAGUAGCCUCUUGAAUAUUGUGGGUAUUGUUCUCUGGCACAUUUCUUAUUCUAAUCUGAAUAAGAGGAAUCUCAUAGAAUGUGAUUGCAUAAUACAUGUGCUUUAGUGUGUUGCUACAUUUGAUUUAAGUGGUCAUCGGCCACUUUACUAACACCAAGCAUUUGCUCAGAUUUGAGAAUUAAAUUUUAAAUACUUGGGGGCAAAUAAAUAUUGGUAUGGAUACAUUUCAGGGCACUUAGGUGGAAUCUACACAAAUAUAAAAAUCGUUCUGAAAAUGCUUUUUUUUUAAAAAAAAAAGAAAACAUUUUUAAAAAUACAUUGAACUUAGCAUAAGGCUCACUAUCGCUAUCUAGUGUAACAUUGUAUAUUGCACUUAAAACACUGUUUUAUUUGCAGCUGUAUAGCUGAGUCCUUAGAUUAAAAACUACAGGUAGUUAAAGUGCAAACAAGCUAUGUUAAUUCAUUUUUUCCAGUGAGUCUUGAGUAUGACUGACGUUGGAUAUCAUUCUAAGUCUUCCUAGACAAGGGGUUGUUUAUCACAUUAGAGUGAUUUAGUGGUGUACACAAACUAUUUCGAGCACACCCACCCACCCAUGCUUCCUGGGAACUGUGGUUUGCACCUCAUGGAGCUACAAUUCCCAGCACUCUUAUCAAACUACUGUUCUUACGAUUCUUCAGGUGUGUGCUUUAAAUGUAUGGUGCAUAUGCAGUCAUAGUGAUUUGCGUCAGAUCCUGAUGAUGUUUCGCAACUUGUUGAAUCGUUCCUGGGAUCUUGCCCGUUAGCUGCUGAAUUAGUGUGCCUUCCCCUCCCUCACUGCCCUAAUUGCAGGGGAGCCUGUUGGUUACUGCAUGGAGGUCCAAUGUAGUGCUUUCCAGGUGUUUUGAACUGUAACUCUCAGCCAGCAUGGCCUGUACUUAGGAGUGAUGGUAGCUGUAAACAACAUUUGGAGGGCACUGCAUUGACUACCCCCUGAUUAGUGUCUCUUGAGAGCACUUAAAGAACAACACAUUCUUCCUCCUGCUGGUGUCUGACAUUUACAAUUUUUAAAAGUUAGGGGCGGGGCUUGCAUUCUUCUAUGGAUAGGGAUUUUGCAUCUCCACCCUCACUCCAACUUUUAAAAAAUAAUAUACCUGGAGAAGCUACUGGCAGCUUCCAUGCAUUAAAGUUAUCUUUUUCCUCCACUCCAGCACAAAAAAAAAAUCCAACACCAUCGGAACGAGCAAAGCACAAUGCUAAUUCUAGCUUUUUAGCUUUAACACUGGGAGAAAGUCCUCUGAAUCUUUUUUAACAUUUAGUUGAAAAGUCAGCAGCUGAACAUAGGUUAGUGGAACAGAAAUAAGACUGGUUGCCAAAAUACCUGGCAAUAUUAGAAUGGGGGGUGGGGGGAAAGUAUUUUAAGUAACUUCCAAGUUGCUGUUUUUAAAAGUAUGGCAACAGGGCAAUCCUGUAUGCAUUUCAGGCCUCGGGAGCAGAGUAAUUUUUAUGUUGUGACCAGCCAGUACUUUUGCAAGAGACCUUGGCAUUCCAUUCUAGAGAAGCCUUGGGGAGGGUUGCACAACAGAAGCCUCUAGCAUAGACAAAAUAAAACAAUGGUAAUGACAGGGCAAAAAGCAAUGGUUUGAUAAAUAUGCAGUGUUCACUCUUGAUGACCACCCUUUAUUUCUAGUUUAUUUGAGCAAUUCUGAUACUUCCUGAGAAUAUUUGAACAGAUCUAACAAUAACAAGGUUGGUAUUUAUUUGCAUGAACUGUGUCCCCCCUUUUUUUUCUGGGGGGAGUUUUCUUGCCCAGUUCUUCCUGUCCUGAAGGUAUACUGGAGUGGAAUAUUUCAGGUGAGCUUCAUAAUGUAAAAGAAAAAGAGGUAGAUAACAAAAAUGAAAGUUAAUUAUCCAUAGUUACCUGUUACUAUAAAAUUUCUGGUAUCAUCACUGAAAUGUGUCAAAUCACUGUAUUUUAAACAAAUACAUUAAAAUGCUUAUUG
This 4889-nucleotide long non-coding RNA is filed under the name Podarcis lilfordi (Lilford's wall lizard). Lineage: Eukaryota; Metazoa; Chordata; Lepidosauria; Squamata; Lacertidae. The record is from RNAcentral.